ACACCCUGUCUGUCUGUGUGCAUUUAGAGCACGUUCUCAAGAUCGAGUCUGAUUCUCACAACGACCCCAAGUAACCACAAUGACAAGUGUGAUGAGUUUCCCACAGUUCACAGAACAAGAUGGGAAGAAUGGUCCAGAAUCAUCCCACAGAUAAACUUCAAGCUGACAACGCCUUGGAUUUCAAGAACUUAAGCCUGCACUUUGCUUCUAUGAGGAACUGCCAAUGUUUUGCCCUCAGGCAAAGAGGAAACCUGAUUUCUUUCCCCUGACCAUGUCUCAGAAUGUCCAGUUCCAGCCGUUAAGAUCUCUCCCCUGCUGCAAUCUGCUAAUUAAGAACAUACUCUGUCACCUCUCUCGCUCUCCCUCUUCAUCUUCCUCUCCCUUUCCCUCUUUUCCCCUCUCUCCACCUCAUUUCUUAAUUUUUCCCUCCUACUCUUCCUCCCUUUCAUAACAUUGCAUCAUUUCUGAUUGUCCUGCUUUGUGAUACAGUUCAGGGAGGUUUGACACAGAGAAGAACUGUCAGUUCUUUAAUCACUUCUUUAUUAUCAAGAUAGGGAGAGAAAUGCCAUUAUCUUUCACAACUUCACUUUGUGGGACAGAUGUAUU
This 606-nucleotide long non-coding RNA is filed under the name Homo sapiens (human). RNAcentral describes it as "HSALNT0300830". Lineage: Eukaryota; Metazoa; Chordata; Mammalia; Primates; Hominidae. The record is from RNAcentral.